Long non-coding RNA from Pistacia vera, 363 nucleotides. RefSeq lists it as uncharacterized. The record is from RefSeq and is a predicted model, not a curated record. The transcript has 3 exons. NCBI's taxonomy places the organism in Eukaryota, Viridiplantae, Streptophyta, Magnoliopsida, Sapindales, Anacardiaceae.
UUGUUCAAGUCUAUAUAUAAAUAAUAACCAGCCUUGAUCCUUUAUGCUUUGAGGCUCAGAUCUUAUCAACACUCUCAAAGAUGGCGGAGGCUAAGCAAUGGUGAUCAAAGUUGACCUAAGUUGCAGCAAAUGCUACAAGAAAGUCAAGAAAAUACUUUGUGAAAUCCCCCAAAUACAAGAUCAAGUUUACGAUGAGAAGCAAAACACAGUUACUAUAAAAGUGGCGUGUUGCUGCAGCCCUGAAAAAAUCAUGCAAAAGAUCCGCUGCAAGGGCGGUAGGCAAUCAUAAGUAUAGAAAUCAAACCGCCUAAGAAGAAGAAUAGAGAAAAAAGAGGAGAUAAACCAAACCAUCUGAUGAGAGAA